Molecule: microRNA precursor, 574 nt
Filed under: Dimocarpus longan
Lineage: Eukaryota; Viridiplantae; Streptophyta; Magnoliopsida; Sapindales; Sapindaceae
Source: RNAcentral
ACACACUCUCUUCAAAGCCGCUUCACUCUUUUUCUGUUCUUUUUUGUUUUUUGGGUAGUUUGGUUUUUCAGUUCUCUUUCUGGCUAGCUCUUUCUAGGGUUUUUGUACAUGUAGGGCAAAUUUUUAACAGCACAUAUACACAUGAAAUAGUAUUUGUGAUAUUGGCCUGGUUCACUCAGACAAGACUAUAUAUUUUUUCGAACUUUACUAUUUUUUUCUAGUUUGAUUGAGCCGUGCCAAUAUCUCCAUGCUUUUUCAUUAUUUGAUCUCCUUCAUUAGAGACUCUUGAAGAUGAUCUCAGUCUCAAAAGGUUUGUUUUUCUCGACUACCAAGUAUUUUCUAUAUAUGUGUAUCAUAUAUGAAUACCAAUAGAUGCAUUAAUUUGUUUAUAUAUAAGUGUGUGUGAGUAUACAUAGAUAUUCACUGACUUAAUACUGCAUGUACGUAGUCACCGCUAUUCCAGGGAUAGGUUUGUCUUUACACCAUGAAGAGAGGACUCUAUUGAUAUUGGUAUCAAAACAUUCCGAUAUAUAGAAAUUUGUUGCAGAAAAAAAAAAAAAAAAAAAAAAAAAAA